This is a non-coding RNA of Dipodomys ordii (Ord's kangaroo rat), 67 nucleotides long. The record is from Rfam. NCBI's taxonomy places the organism in Eukaryota, Metazoa, Chordata, Mammalia, Rodentia, Heteromyidae.
GGGAAGGUGGCUCAGUGGUAGAGCGCUUGCCUUUUAUGCAUGAAGCCCUGAGUUUGAUUCCUCACCA